This is a non-coding RNA of Paramuricea clavata, 642 nucleotides long. NCBI's taxonomy places the organism in Eukaryota, Metazoa, Cnidaria, Anthozoa, Malacalcyonacea, Plexauridae. The record is from the annotation of a GenBank genome assembly.
AUUUUAUUUUAAUAUAGAAAACAAUUUGAAAAAAACAAAAACAUCGCAUCCCAGACAGUUGUAUAGUCGACAACAAAUUCCAUUAAACACACCACGCUAGCGGAAGUGGGACUCUCUUGUAUUCUGUUCUGUAUUACUGUACCAAUUGCGGUGGUAGUAUUUUUGUUCAAUUUGGACAGAACUAAUAGAGGUGUCUUGUGUUCAAUUUAAUUUAUAAUUUUAAUAUAAAUCUUCGGAAAACAAUAUAAACUUUAUAUUUACACCUCGAGCACACAAACGUGAACGUAACACGAACGUACAAAACCUGAGCCCGCGAUAAACAACGCGGUUAUUAAUAAGAACACAGCUAACCCAAUAUAAUGUUAUCAAUUAAAACGUUAAAACGUUUCUAAACUGUUGAGUGCUAUUUACAACAGCUUGUGUAGGUUUAAUUGAAUUCAGGCUUCCUUGUGUAGCCUAUAGUAUUAAUAUUGGAUUAAUAUACGUAGAGUGGCCGGUCCUUACUGGAAGUUUAGGCAGAUCUGAUAGAGUUUUGAACGGUCUGCGCCAGUGUUGGUACUGCCAAUAAUAAGAAAGUUUCGGAUUGAUGGCGAUCGAUGCAACGAUUAUCAUUUAUAGACCUGGAGCGAGGGUGAUUCGGCG